GCAAUAUGUCAACUACUCAAUAAUGUAUCCUACUCCAACCUUCAAUUAACCUUUUUAUUCUUAAGCAUUUAGCUUGGUCCAGUGUCCUCUGGCAUUUCUUAUGCAGUAGCUCAAUAUUUUCUACCACUCUGAUAAAUCAUUCAAGAGGAGAAGGCAAAAUAUGCUCAAAGGAGUGGUAUCCUUCACACAGCAACAGGAUGAAAUUAAAAUUCCACAGGUGUUGCUUGAGAAUGUAUUUUCCUCUGUAUCUGGUUUCUCUCUGGAUAAAUGUCACCAGGAUCUGGCUGUCACCCUAGAACUGAUAAUUUCUGCUAGAAGUCUGUGCAGAGGGAAGCUGAAGUGUGGACAUAACAUCACUAAAACACAGAAGGCCUACCCAGGAAAAGAGCCCAGA
This 394-nucleotide long non-coding RNA is filed under the name Numida meleagris (helmeted guineafowl). RNAcentral describes it as "lncRNA (ENSNMEG00000019730.1)". Lineage: Eukaryota; Metazoa; Chordata; Aves; Galliformes; Numididae. The record is from RNAcentral.